This 425-nucleotide ribosomal RNA is filed under the name uncultured bacterium. RNAcentral describes it as "partial 16S ribosomal RNA". It matches the Rfam family "Bacterial small subunit ribosomal RNA", at positions 354 to 796 of the family's 1533-position model. The record is from RNAcentral.
GUGGGGAAUAUUGGACAAUGGGCGCAAGCCUGAUCCAGCCAUGCCGCGUGAGUGAUGAAGGCCCUAGGGUUGUAAAGCUCUUUCACCGGUGAAGAUAAUGACGGUAACCGGAGAAGAAGCCCCGGCUAACUUCGUGCCAGCAGCCGCGGUAAUACGAAGGGGGCUAGCGUUGUUCGGAUUUACUGGGCGUAAAGCGCACGUAGGCGGAUCGUUAAGUCGGGGGUGAAAUCCUGGAGCUCAACUCCAGAACUGCCUUCGAUACUGGCGAUCUUGAGUCCGGAAGAGGUGAGUGGAACUCCUAGUGUAGAGGUGGAAUUCGUAGAUAUUAGGAAGAACACCAGUGGCGAAGGCGGCUCACUGGUCCGGUACUGACGCUGAGGUGCGAAAGCGUGGGGAGCAAACAGGAUUAGAAACCCUUGUAGUCC